This 70-nucleotide transfer RNA is filed under the name Candidatus Luteimonas excrementigallinarum. It matches the Rfam family "tRNA". Rfam says of the family: Transfer RNA (tRNA) molecules are approximately 80 nucleotides in length. Their secondary structure includes four short double-helical elements and three loops (D, anti-codon, and T loops). Further hydrogen bonds mediate the characteristic L-shaped molecular structure. tRNAs have two regions of fundamental functional importance: the anti-codon, which is responsible for specific mRNA codon recognition, and the 3' end, to which the tRNAs corresponding amino acid is attached (by aminoacyl-tRNA synthetases). tRNAs cope with the degeneracy of the genetic code in two manners: having more than one tRNA (with a specific anti-codon) for a particular amino acid; and 'wobble' base-pairing, i.e. permitting non-standard base-pairing at the 3rd anti-codon position. The record is from RNAcentral. Lineage: Bacteria; Pseudomonadati; Pseudomonadota; Gammaproteobacteria; Lysobacterales; Lysobacteraceae.
CGAAGUAGCUCAGUUGGUAGAGCAACUGAUUCGUAAUCAGUAGGUCGGAGGUUCGAUUCCUCUCUUCGGC